GCACUGCUGAGGAGUCCCGCGAUAGGACGAAACGGCCGUCCAAUGC
Molecule: non-coding RNA, 46 nt
Filed under: Schistosoma curassoni
Lineage: Eukaryota; Metazoa; Platyhelminthes; Trematoda; Strigeidida; Schistosomatidae
Source: RNAcentral